Molecule: ribosomal RNA, 253 nt
Filed under: uncultured bacterium
Lineage: Bacteria
Description: partial 16S ribosomal RNA
Rfam family: Bacterial small subunit ribosomal RNA
Source: RNAcentral
UACGUAGGGUGCAAGCGUUGUCCGGAAUUAUUGGGCGUAAAGAGCUUGUAGGCGGUUUGUCGCGUCUGCUGUGAAAUCCCGGGGCUCAACCCCGGGCUUGCAGUGGAUACGGGCAGACUAGAGUUCGGUAGGGGAGACUGGAAUUCCUGGUGUAGCGGUGAAAUGCGCAGAUAUCAGGAGGAACACCGGUGGCGAAGGCGGGUCUCUGGGCCGAUACUGACGCUGAGGAGCGAAAGCGUGGGGAGCGAACAGG